CUACGGGUCGCUCCAGGCGCGAAACUUCUACAAUGCGCGCAAGCGUGAUAGAGGGAUUUCGAGUGCUAGCUUUGCUAGCUUUUGCCAAGUGUAGAUAGCUUGGCGAAUAAGUGCUGGGUAAGAUGCGUGCCAGCCGCCGCGGUAAUACGUACAGCACAAGUGGUGUCCACUAAUAUUGGGCCUAAAGCAUCUGUAGCCGGUCCAGUAAGUCCUUGGUGAAAUCAAUGAGCUCAACUUAUUGAAUGGCUAAGGAUACUGCUGAGACUCGAGAGCGGAAGACGUAAAGGGAAUUCCAGGAGUAGGAGUGAAAUCUAGUGAUCCUUGGAGGACCUCCAGUAGCGAAGGCGCUUUACGAGGACGUUUCUGACGGUGAGAGAUGAAAGCUGGGGGAGCGACCCGGAUUAGAUACCCUGGUAGUC
RNAcentral lists this ribosomal RNA (419 nucleotides) under uncultured archaeon. RNAcentral's name for it is "partial 16S ribosomal RNA". It matches the Rfam family "Archaeal small subunit ribosomal RNA", at positions 323 to 746 of the family's 1478-position model. The record is from RNAcentral.